Molecule: ribosomal RNA, 509 nt
Filed under: uncultured bacterium
Lineage: Bacteria
Description: bacterial SSU rRNA
Rfam family: Bacterial small subunit ribosomal RNA
Source: RNAcentral
CGAUUUGGAUGUCGUCAGCUCGUGUCGUGAGAUGUUGGGUUAAGUCCCGCAACGAGCGCAACCCUUACCUUUAGUUGCCAGCGGGUCAUGCCGGGAACUCUAAAGGGACUGCCCGGGUUAACCGGGAGGAAGGCGGGGAUGAUGUCAAGUCCUCAUGGCCCUUAUGUCCAGGGCUACACACGUGCUACAAUGGGCGAUACAAACCGUUGCGAGAUCGCGAGAUGGAGCUAAUCGGAGAAAGUCGUCCUCAGUUCGGAUUGUAGUCUGCAACUCGACUGCAUGAAGGUGGAAUCGCUAGUAAUCGUGUAUCAGAAUGAUACGGUGAAUACGUUCCCGGGCCUUGUACACACCGCCCGUCACAUCACGAAAGCCGGGAGCACUUGAAGAGGCUGUGGUAACCCGCAAGGGGGCUAGGUCUCAAUGGUGAACUUGGUGAUUGGGGUGAAGUCGUAACAAGGUAGCUGUAGGAGAACCUGUGGCUGGAUCACCUCCUUUCUAAGGAGAGCCGA